CGAGAGAUGUCAAGAAUCUCUUAGGGCUAGAAAGGAUGAGUUAAAACAUGUCCAAUGACCUGGAGUUGGCCAAGGCUCCCUUUGGCACUACUGAGGUCUUUUCCUCCAUGUGUUCCCAAUUUAACGCUGCUGUUCUUGCCUCGGGAUGAAAUAGCGUUGUUCCAGAUUUCUGGGGGCCCGGUUUGAAGCCUGUCUCUGCCACUUCGUAGCCGAGAGUUAAACUCUUAUUAAUCCUAAUUGUGUUCACCUGUAAGGGCGGGGUGUGCACUUGUCAACCUCACUCUUAGCACAGUGACCUUCCAUCUCAGGCCGUGCCUUGCAGAUUCCAGGGGGUGUCUCAUUUUGUCUCAAGGGAGUGGAGCUGUUUCUAGGGUUUCCUGGCCAAACCUUCUCUGGAUCUCUCCACUCCAUAGAUGG
Molecule: long non-coding RNA, 417 nt
Filed under: Rattus norvegicus (Norway rat)
Lineage: Eukaryota; Metazoa; Chordata; Mammalia; Rodentia; Muridae
Description: long non-coding RNA NONRATT019698
Source: RNAcentral